This 500-nucleotide ribosomal RNA is filed under the name uncultured bacterium. RNAcentral describes it as "partial 16S ribosomal RNA". It matches the Rfam family "Bacterial small subunit ribosomal RNA", at positions 29 to 523 of the family's 1533-position model. The record is from RNAcentral.
AUUGAACGCUGGCGGCAUGCCUUACACAUGCAAGUCGAACGGCAGCACGGGAGCAAUCCUGGUGGCGAGUGGCGAACGGGUGAGUAGUACAUCGGAACGUGCCUAGUAGUGGGGGAUAGCCCGGCGAAAGCCGGAUUAAUACCGCAUACGACCUGAGGGUGAAAGCGGGGGAUCGCAAGACCUCGCGCUAUCAGAGCGGCCGAUGCCAGAUUAGGUAGUUGGUGGGGUAAAAGCCUACCAAGCCGACGAUCUGGAGCUGGUCUGAGAGGACGACCAGCCACACUGGGACUGAGACACGGACCAGACUCCUACGGGAGGCAGCAGUGGGGAAUUUUGGACAAUGGGCGCAAGCCUGAUCCAGCCAUGCCGCGUGCAGGAAGAAGGCCUUCGGGUUGUAAACUGCUUUUGUCAGGGAAGAAAAGUUCUGGGCUAAUACCCCGGAGCGAUGACGGUACCUGAAGAAUAAGCACCGGCUAACUACGUGCCAGCCGCCGCGGUAA